Molecule: long non-coding RNA, 1239 nt
Organism: Polypterus senegalus (gray bichir)
Lineage: Eukaryota; Metazoa; Chordata; Cladistia; Polypteriformes; Polypteridae
Exons: 6
Source: RefSeq, a predicted model, not a curated record
GCAAGGCAUUCUGGGAUUGGUUUGAACGAGGAAGUAAGAGCGGUGCAAGUUGAGCAGAGGUUUUGAUUCAGAAAACCACAUUAGAACAUUUAGAACUUCUCUUACGUCCUGUUAAUUAUGUUAUAGCUUAUAAUUAUUUAUCUUUUUUAUCACUCCGCCUAUUUAGUUCAUUUAUUUUUAAUAUUAUUCAUUUUGCACUUUCCAUUGUUGAGUGAGACCGGGAACAGCAUGAGGCAGGAGAAUUGAAAGUUCCAGAAACAAUUCAUUACAGUUUUGACUUGAAUGAUGUCUGAGUUACAAAAAGAGAUUAAGCAAACCUUACUGUGAGUAAUACCAAGCCUUCCUGACGAGCCACUCAAUCAGUCAGUUGAGAAAUGUGUAGGCUGAGGAGUAGAAGAUUUAAUGUACGUGAAAGAAGAGGACUUCUUAAGAGUUCAUACAACCUGUCCAGUGCCAAACUGUUCAGCACCUGGAUAGAUCAUGAACAAAGAAGCAGCAUUUUGCUUCAGUAAUUAGUUUGACCUAGGUCUCCUCAAAAUUCACCACAAAUGAGCUCCUCAGACUCCUCAGUAAGAAAAUAGAUGUACUCACACUUCAAGCAGAUGCAUUUUCCACUUCAGCAAAUGCCCAAGGAACACUCAACUUGCCUGACAGUCCUUAAAUUAUAAUUCUUGGUCAAACUCUAAGCAACCAGCAGUGGAUGGUGAGCAUUGAAGGCCACGUUGUAUGUGAGGGAACACAACUCAGCUUUGUCUGUGGCCGUACUGCUGUGUUUGCUUCAUGUGUGGACACUUUUUCUUUGGUGUCGUUUCUUGUGACUGAAGACAGAGAAAGCAAAAUUAAAACGAUUUAUUGACAUCAACCCUGAACAAAUGUCCAAGGCCAAUCAAGGAAAAGCUUCAUCCAUGAAGACUAGCCAAGUAGUCCAUAACAAGAAGAACGCAGUAAACCCUCAUUUUUCCUAUCCACUUUGUAAGAUAAUGGACUUUGAACGUAAUUCAUCCAAGACUACUUUGUUCACUUUUAAUUUUGACAGUUUAGGCAAUUUUUGUCUAACAUGGUGUUCUUAUUUUAUUUUAAUGUGAAAGUCAACAUUGGUGUUAUACUUUUAAAUUUAGUAUUGAAUGCUGCACUAUGUUUAUUGCCAGUGUUUCCCACCUCUGUUACAAUCAUUUGUGUUUAUCUGAAAUAAUGAAAGACUGCUAACUAUUAAAAAAACUGGUAAUGUAAAAACCUAAU